Molecule: non-coding RNA, 752 nt
Organism: Ceratotherium simum simum (southern white rhinoceros)
Lineage: Eukaryota; Metazoa; Chordata; Mammalia; Perissodactyla; Rhinocerotidae
Source: RefSeq, a predicted model, not a curated record
AUACAACACAUCUACAGUUCACAAAGGACUUUCACUUACAUGAUCUCAUUUUACCCUCAGAAGAGUUUGUAAAGUAGAACACUGAUCACAUUUCACAAGUAAGGAACUGCUCUCAGCACCGACGCCCUCACCUUUGCGAUGCCAUGCUUCCGUGGUUGGUUUUGGGGCACUAUCUUCUUUAGUUGUUUUUUUCCCCUCUUCUCAUUAUUCCUUCUCAGGGAAGGCUUUUUCUUCUCUAUUUCCCCUUAAAUAUAUAUAGAUGUUCAUGGGCCUCUCCUCUGCUCCUGCUAUAUCCUCUCAUUAGAUGACCUCAUCCACUCUGAUGGUUUUAGCUACCACAUAUAAACUGACAUCUGCCAAAUCUAUUAUGCAGAGCUCAGAUCUCUCCACUGAGCACCGGAGCUACACAUACACAACUCCUGCCUAAACUUGCACGUUCAUGCAGCAUGUCCAACACGAGGAGCACGGAGAGCAGUCCCAAGCCUACAGAAAGCAGCCAGCAGGGACUGUAGGAGGAAGGGGUCUGGUGUUCAGCAGAGGGACAGGACUAGCAAAAGCUGCUGGAGCUCAGAGGUAUGUGAAUCCUAAACACUCAGUGUUAUUUUUCACUGUUUUGAUUUUUGAUUCCUAUGUUAAAUCUUUUUAUACAUGGUCUUAAUUUCAAGUUGCUUCCAGUCUUUCUUUGAAAGCAAGAGGUUUAAAGUAUAAAUUUGAAUGAUGCUCGCAAGCCAAUGUAUGCUAGAAAAGCCAAG